CACUCCUACGGGAGGCAGCAGUGAGGAAUAUUGGACAAUGGGUGGAAGCCUGAUCCAGCCAUCCCGCGUGCAGGAAGACGGCCCUAUGGGUUGUAAACUGCUUUUAUCUGGGGAUAAACCUACUUACGUGUAAGUAGCUGAAGGUACCAGAAGAAUAAGCACCGGCUAACUCCGUGCCAGCAGCCGCGGUAAUACGGAGGGUGCAAGCGUUAUCCGGAUUUAUUGGGUUUAAAGGGUCCGUAGGCGGACUGAUAAGUCAGUGGUGAAAUCCGACAGCUUAACUGUCGAACUGCCAUUGAUACUGUUAGUCUUGAGUAAGGUUGAAGUGGCUGGAAUAAGUAGUGUAGCGGUGAAAUGCAUAGAUAUUACUUAGAACACCAAUUGCGAAGGCAGGUCACUAAGUCUUAACUGACGCUGAUGGACGAAAGCGUGGGGAGCGAACAGGAUUAGAAACCCUAGUAGUCCCAUGAU
RNAcentral lists this ribosomal RNA (471 nucleotides) under uncultured organism. Its description in RNAcentral is "partial 16S ribosomal RNA". It matches the Rfam family "Bacterial small subunit ribosomal RNA", at positions 334 to 801 of the family's 1533-position model. The record is from RNAcentral.